AGUGAACGCUGGCGGUAGGCCUAACACAUGCAAGUCGAACGGCAGCACAGUAAGAGCUUGCUCUUACGGGUGGCGAGUGGCGGACGGGUGAGGAAUACAUCGGAAUCUACUUUUUCGUGGGGGAUAACGUAGGGAAACUUACGCUAAUACCGCGUACGACCUACGGGUGAAAGCAGGGGAUCUUCGGACCUUGCGCGAUUGAAUGAGCCGAUGUCGGAUUAGCUAGUUGGCGGGGUAAAGGCCCACCAAGGCGACGAUCCGUAGCUGGUCUGAGAGGAUGAUCAGCCACACUGGAACUAAGACACGGUCCAGACUCCUACGGGAGGCAGCAGUGGGGAAUAUUGGACCAUGGGCGCAAGCCUGAUCCAGCCAUACCGCGUGGGUGAAGAAGGCCUUCGGGUUGUAAAGCCCUUUUGUUGGGAAAGAAAAGCAGCAGGUUAAUACCCCGCUGUUCUGACGGUACCCAAAGAAUAGCACCGGCUAACUUCGU
This 490-nucleotide ribosomal RNA is filed under the name uncultured bacterium. RNAcentral describes it as "partial 16S ribosomal RNA". It matches the Rfam family "Bacterial small subunit ribosomal RNA", at positions 29 to 506 of the family's 1533-position model. The record is from RNAcentral.